UCUCCGUAGGUGAACCUGCGGAGGGAUCAUUACUGAGCGAGGGUUUAACCGCCCGACCUCCAACCCCCUGUCUUCCGACUCUGUUGCCUCGGGGGCGACCCGGCCCUCUGGGCGUCGGGGCCCCCGGUGGCUCACACCUCAACUCUUGCAUCUGUGCGUCUGAGUAACAUAUUGAAUCAAUCAAAACUUUCAACAACGGAUCUCUUGGUUCUGGCAUCGAUGAAGAACGCAGC
This 233-nucleotide unclassified non-coding RNA is filed under the name uncultured fungus. RNAcentral's name for it is "sequence contains ITS1, 5.8S rRNA gene". The stretch from base 185 to 233 matches the Rfam family "5.8S ribosomal RNA", at positions 1 to 49 of the family's 154-position model. Lineage: Eukaryota; Fungi. The record is from RNAcentral.